AGGGCCCCGCACAAGCAGCGGAGCGUGUGGUUUAAUUCGAUGCUACACGAAGAACCUUACCAGGGUUUGACAUGCUAGUGGUAGGAAACCGAAAGGUGACCGACCCUUCGGGAGCUAGCACAGGUGCUGCACGGCUGUCGUCAGCUCGUGUCGUGAGAUGUUCGGUUAAGUCCGCUAACGAGCGCAACCCUCGCUGUGUGUUAUAUGUGUCACAUGGGACUGCCGGGCCUUAAGCCGGAGGAAGGUGGGGAUGAUGUCAAGUCAGCAUGGCCUUUAUGUCCUGGGCUACACACACGCUACAAUGGUCAGCACAAUGGGUCGCUAAGCCGCAAGGUGGAGCCAAUCCUCAAAGUUGGCCUCAGUUCAGAUUGUAGGCUGCAACUCGCCUGCAUGAAGAUGGAGUUGCUAGUAAACGCAGGUCAGCUAUACUGCGUUGAAUACGUUCCCGGGGCUU
RNAcentral lists this ribosomal RNA (454 nucleotides) under uncultured Leptolinea sp. Its description in RNAcentral is "bacterial SSU rRNA". It matches the Rfam family "Bacterial small subunit ribosomal RNA", at positions 915 to 1382 of the family's 1533-position model. The record is from RNAcentral. Lineage: Bacteria; Bacillati; Chloroflexota; Anaerolineae; Anaerolineales; Anaerolineaceae.